This 468-nucleotide ribosomal RNA is filed under the name uncultured bacterium. RNAcentral's name for it is "partial 16S ribosomal RNA". It matches the Rfam family "Bacterial small subunit ribosomal RNA", at positions 29 to 507 of the family's 1533-position model. The record is from RNAcentral.
AGUGAACGCUGGCGGUAGGCCUAACACAUGCAAGUCGAACGGCAGCACAGUAAGAGCUUGCUCUUACGGGUGGCGAGUGGCGGACGGGUGAGGAAUACAUCGGAAUCUACUUUUUCGUGGGGGAUAACGUAGGGAAACUUACGCUAAUACCGCAUACGACCUACGGGUGAAAGCAGGGGAUCUUCGGACCUUGCGCGAUUGAAUGAGCCGAUGUCGGAUUAGCUAGUUGGCGGGGUAAAGGCCCUACCAAGGCGACGAUCCAUAGCUGGUCUGAGAGGAUGAUCAGCCACACUGGGACUGAGACACGGCCCAGACUCCUACGGGAGGCAGCAGUGGGGAAUAUUGGACAAUGGGCGAAAGCCUGAUCCAGCAAUGCCGCGUGAGUGAUGAAGGCCUUAGGGUUGUAAAGCUCUUUUACCCGGGAUGAUAAUGACAGUACCGGGAGAAUAAGCUCCGGCUAACUCCGUG